CCCUUAGAUGUUCUGGGCCGCACGCGUGCUACACUGAGUGGAUCAGCGGGUCAGGUUGCGCGAAAGUGUUUCCUAAUCUUGAAAUCCGCUCGUGAUGGGGAUUGACGGUUGCAAUUUUCCGUCAUGAACGAGGAAUACCUUGUAAGCGCGGGUCAUCAUCCCGCGCUGAAUACGUCCCUGCCCUUUGUACACACCGCCCGUCGCUCCUACCGAUUGAGUGGUCCGGUGAGGCUUUGGGAUCUGAGCAAAGAGAGCGUUUCGCUCGUUUUACCCGGAAAACUCAGUCGAACCUUAUCAUUUAGAGGAAGGAGAAGUCGUAACA
Molecule: ribosomal RNA, 322 nt
Filed under: uncultured eukaryote
Lineage: Eukaryota
Description: partial 18S ribosomal RNA
Rfam family: Eukaryotic small subunit ribosomal RNA
Source: RNAcentral